UCCCUUGUGGCUUAGCUGGUAAAGAACCUGCCUGCAAUGCGGGAGACCUGGGUUCAAUCCCUGGGUUGGGAA
Molecule: transfer RNA, 72 nt
Filed under: Bos taurus (domestic cattle)
Lineage: Eukaryota; Metazoa; Chordata; Mammalia; Artiodactyla; Bovidae
Also listed under: 3 other names
Rfam family: tRNA
About the family: Transfer RNA (tRNA) molecules are approximately 80 nucleotides in length.
Source: Rfam by way of RNAcentral